Molecule: ribosomal RNA, 869 nt
Filed under: Clostridioides difficile
Lineage: Bacteria; Bacillati; Bacillota; Clostridia; Peptostreptococcales; Peptostreptococcaceae
Description: partial 23S ribosomal RNA
Rfam family: Bacterial large subunit ribosomal RNA
Source: RNAcentral
UUUAACUGAGCGUUCAGUUACUUGACGUAGACCCGAAACCGGGCGACCUACCCAUGAGCAGGAUGAAGCGAAAGUAAAAUUUCGUGGAGGUCCGAACCCACGAGCGUUGAAAAGCUCGGGGAUGACUUGUGGGUAGCGGUGAAAUUCCAAUCGAGCCCGGAGAUAGCUGGUUCUCCCCGAAAUAGCUUUAGGGCUAGCCUCAAGGUGAGAGAUACGGAGGUAGAGCACUGAAUGUCCUAGGGGGUAUUGCACCUACCGAAGACUAUCAAACUCCGAAUGCCGUCAUCUUAUACUUGGGAGUCAGACUGUGGGUGAUAAGAUUCAUAGUCGAAAGGGCAACAGCCCAGAUCGUCAGCUAAGGUCCCUAAAUGUAAGUUAAGUGGUAAAGGAUGUGGGAUUGCACAGACAACCAGGAUGUUGGCUUAGAAGCAGCCACUCAUUCAAAGAGUGCGUAAUAGCUCACUGGUCGAGUGAUCCUGCGCCGAAGAUUUCCGGGGCUAAAACUUACUACCGAAGCUACGGCAUCAGUAAUGAUGGGUAGGGGAGCUUCCCAUACGGGUUGAAGCAUGACCGUAAGGACAUGUGGACAGUAUGGGAGUGAGAAUGUUGGCAUGAGUAGCGAGAUGUGGGUGAGAAUCCCACAGGCCGUAAACCCAAGGUUUCCAGGGGAAGGUUCGUCCGCCCUGGGUUAGUCGGGACCUAAGCUGAGGCCGAAAGGCGUAGGUGAUGGACAACAGGUUGAUAUUCCUGUACUACCGAUAACCGUUUGAGAGAAGGGAUGACACAGUAGGAUAAGCUAAGCACACUGUUGGUUAUGUGUGCCCAAGCAUUGAGGCAGUCAAAGUAGGCAAAUCCGCUUUGAUAAUGCU